UAGGGUUUUGAUUAUGGCUCAGAUUGAACGCUGGCGGCAGGCCUUACACAUGCAAGUCGAGCGAGAAAUUUUCUUCGGAAAAGAGUAAAGCGGCGGACGGGUGAGUAACGCGUAGGAAUCUACCUAGUAGUGGGGGACAACAUGUGGAAACGCAUGCUAAUACCGCAUACGCCCUAUGGGGGAAAGCAGGGGAUCUUCGGACCUUGUGCUAUUAGAUGAGCCUGCGUCGGAUUAGUUUGUUGGUAGGGUAAUGGCCUACCAAGACUACGAUCCGUAGCUGGUCUGAGAGGAUGAUCAGCCACACUGGGACUGAGACACGGCCCAGACUCCUACGGGAGGCAGCAGUGGGGAAUAUUGGACAAUGGGCGCAAGCCUGAUCCA
Molecule: ribosomal RNA, 381 nt
Filed under: OMG group bacterium enrichment culture clone NPHTC-005
Lineage: Bacteria; Pseudomonadati; Pseudomonadota; Gammaproteobacteria
Description: bacterial SSU rRNA
Rfam family: Bacterial small subunit ribosomal RNA
Source: RNAcentral